This is a long non-coding RNA of Mobula hypostoma (lesser devil ray), 400 nucleotides long. RefSeq lists it as uncharacterized. The transcript is spliced from 3 exons. The record is from RefSeq and is a predicted model, not a curated record. Lineage: Eukaryota; Metazoa; Chordata; Chondrichthyes; Myliobatiformes; Myliobatidae.
GAGGCAAGACAAGUUAUAAAAUGUGUUUUCAGCAUCUCAACGGGGUAAUUACCUGGUCUCUUUGUCUUAACUUGCUGUCGUUUCUCACGGACAGAAUUGAAAAGGCUGGACUGACUUGUGUGGCAGCAGGGGACUCACAAGAAAGACAAGAUGAAUUGCCCGCUCAGCACUUCUGGCUGAAGGAAUCGCUGGAGUCAGGCAGGGGUCCAGAGGACGGGAAAAUAAUCAGGAUGAAGGAACUGAUGGACUGCUGGUAUUGUGGCUAAGCUUUCAGACAAUACAAGGAUAGGUAGAGCAUUGACCUACCUGGAAACAGAAGCCAAAAAUAAUAAAAACGACGUAGUCAUCCCGGGUGCUGUUUGAUGAUGGCAACAGGAAGCAAGUGUCAUGGAGACCCAUG